CCGGCUAAUUUUUUGUAUUUUUGGUAGAGACGGGGUUUCACCAUGUUAGCCAGGAUGGUCUCGAUCUCCUGACUUUGUGAUCCGCCCUCCUCGACCUCCCAAAGUGCUGGGAUUACAGGCUUGAGCCACUGCGCCCGGCCAUUAACUCUUAACCUUCCCUCAUCUGGCCUAGGAAUGAUGAUGGCGCCCGCUGACACUAGACCCCAGUUAUACCCUCCUGUGUGGGUUCCCUACACCCUGCCCACACCUUUGUAAACAAUUCCUUUACUAAACUCUCCUCAAAUUAUCCCAAUUAUAUAUGUGCCAUGUGUUUCCUGCUGAGCCCUGACUGAUAGAUAAACCACGUGGUUCUUUGUUCAAACAAAAUUGUAUGCAAAAACUAAGCAGAUAGAACAGAUCGGAGCAGAGUUCCUGCAUCCAUUCACAUGGAUUUAUUAAGUGUCAGCCCCUAGCCAGAGUCCCUGGGCUGGGACUGAGGACACACUAGUGAGUGAGAACAGUGAGGUCCUUACUGGCUGGAGUAUACAGUCUUGCAGGUGGCAAAGGUGGGGCAGGCGGCCUGAGCUCCUUGGUCCCCGACACUGUCUUUGUGGGGCCCUAUUUAAUAACCACAGAAAGUUAUGUCAAUGCCUGCGAUCCAGUUCCCUUGUCCUACUCCCAUUUUUCAGAUGGGAAAGCUGAGGCCGAGAGGAGGAAAGGGAAUUGCCCAAUAUUUAAGACAGUCUACCUUCUGGAAGUUAAUGGAAUCUUGCCUUCUUUUCUUAUUUAUUAUUAUUAUUUUUUUAACGGAGUCUCACUCUGUCUCACUCUGUCGCCAGGCUGGAGUGCAAUGGCACAAUCUUGGCUCACUGAAACCUCCGCCUCCCAGGUUCAAGUGAUUCUCCUGCCUCAGCCUCCCAGCCUGUAACUGGGACUACAGGCACGCACCACCACGCCCAGCUAAUUUUUGUAUUUUUAGUAGAGACGGGGUUUCACCAUGUUGGCCAGGAUGGUCUCAAUCUCUUGACCUCAUGAUCCACCUGCGUCAGCCUUCCAAAGUGCUGGGAUUACAGGCGUGAGCCACCGUGCCCAGCCGGAAUCCUGCCUUCUUAGUUUGGAGUGAUGGCUAAUAUUUGGUGAGUUGUCAGUGUGUGCUGGACCCUUGGCUACAUACAUGUCACAGUUUAAUCCCCGAAUGACUCUCUGAAGUGGGAAGGAGUAUUAUCCCUACUUUAUAGACAAGGCUUGGAGAGAUGAAGUGACUUGUCCAGAGUCAAGGAGCCAGCUAGAGCCAGAGCUGGAUGGAACCUCCAGGAAAUCUAUGGAGGAGGAAGAGGGGCUGUGAAAAAUGUCAACCUCCGAAAAGCAUCUGAGUGUGUGGUUUUUUUUAAUCAUCUUGCAACCAUAAGGAAAAUUCUUGGUGGCUAAAUCAUCCCCCGAGACAGCAUAAGAGAGGGGAACAGGCAUCCUAGAUCCUUCAGAUAUUGGCUUCAUUUCAGAACAUUCUUGGCUGGAAUGAAAAUGGCACAGAAGCCAGGGUCAGUCUGGUUCACAGGAAGGGCUCAGGAUGCGCAUGAGAGGCUGUUAGAAGCAGCUUGUCAUAGGCAGCAAAAUUAAAAAUAAAAUGUUAAAAAAAAAGAAGCAGCAGCAACAUCUCUUCUCUAAACAGAUCAAUUCUUGCUGGGAUGCCUCAAUGGUCUCAUUAUGCUUGGCUAACCACCCUAUGUUACUUACAGAGACCACUUGGUAUUUCCGAAGAAUUAAAACAUUCCUCCAG
Molecule: long non-coding RNA, 1756 nt
Filed under: Homo sapiens (human)
Lineage: Eukaryota; Metazoa; Chordata; Mammalia; Primates; Hominidae
Description: HSALNT0276399
Source: RNAcentral